RNAcentral lists this long non-coding RNA (1352 nucleotides) under Cricetulus griseus (Chinese hamster). Its description in RNAcentral is "lncRNA (ENSCGRG00000024180.1)". The record is from RNAcentral. Lineage: Eukaryota; Metazoa; Chordata; Mammalia; Rodentia; Cricetidae.
AUGCAGGAAACAGGACCACUGGAAACUGAGCAACGAUGGGGACUGGCUGGGAUUCUCCACACUCCUGAGUCAUGUGCUCCUUUUUCCUAUGCAGGAAUCAUGCCACUGACUCUGAAGCCAUGGCUUUUACAUUAAGGUCUGCCAUCCCUGCCACAGUCCAUGAAUCCUUUAUCAUCUACAAGGAAGAUGAUUCACUUUGAAAAGCUUUUUCUGAUAGAGACCAGGUUCUCAUAUCAGAAAAUGGCCACAGCAAGCAGUAACUGGCAUCCCAGUAUCACCAUCAUUCAGAUGCUUAAGCUGCCAUACACAUUGAGGUGGGAGAGAGAAAUGAGUCAGCAGCCCGGAUGGAGAUCUCCAAGAAGGAAUAGUGCAAAUUAUUGCUUAAUCUUCAGGACAAUUUUGGAUACAGCAUGCAGAUUUUUCCUUCAGAGCAGGCCUUGAAAAUAAAGAGCCCACAUCACCCUCCAUGCUUUAUUUCCCAUCAAGUGCAUGAAGAAAAUUUUCUGACUAUGGGAUAUUGGUAAGUGAACAGAUCUAUGCAUACAUCAGUAUGCCAUUAGGACUCAAUGUAUCUGUAGCUUAAUGAAAGAAAUAUGUUUUACACAAAUAUGUGACCAUUCUAGUCUCAGAUUCUUGGACAUUUUAUCGGUGUGGGAUAUUUCUUCAAUCCAGUAGUGUUAAUCAUAAUUUAAAAGUAGUUGGUUUAUACUGCCAUUAUAGUUAAGCCACUCUGUCAGCAAGAUGUCUGAAGACUGCCCACUAUAUUUUAAUUUAGGAAGUGUAGGUAAAGAUGGUGAGAAUUUUUGUUCAUUCUAUACAUUUGAAGAUAGAGGUUUCUGUCCCUGCCAGGUUCCACAGCAGCAUUGAACCAAAUAAACACAGAAAGACUUAUAUUAAGUAGAAGACAUGUGGCCUCAGGCUCAAGCUUCUUGUUUCCUAGCUCUGCCUUAAUUGUUAACCCAUUUCUAUUAUUCUGUGCAUUACCACAGCCUGUGGCUUACCCAUAAUAUGUCAUGUUAACUCCUUCAGCUGCAUGGUGUCUGUUAGAAACCUCUCUCUGCCUUCCUCUCUCUCCAGGAUCUCCUGAUAUCUUACCCCUGACUAUGCUUCAUGCCUGGCUGCUGGCCAAUCAUUUUUAAUUGUAUAAAAGAAUGUAUAAAAGAAACAUAUGUACCGAAGGACAUCCCCUAUCAAACUUUCAUCAUAUGUAGUUAAUUGGACAGAAUUUUCUGAGUGCCAGAUGUAUUUAUGUUCUAUGGUAAAACAAUUAAGGAGGAUAUUCAAAGAUAAGUUCUUCUAAUUGCAUUGGCUAGUAUAACCAUGUUUGGAUAUAUUCUGAGACUAUAGGAAAC